AGUUUGAUCCUGGCUCAGGAUGAAUGCUGGCGGCGUGCCUUAAGCAUGCAAGUCGAACGAUUUCCGCAAGGAAGUAGUGGCAGACGGGUGAGUAACGCGUAGGAAUCUACCUCUAGGUGGGACAUAGCCAUCCGAAAGGAUGGGUAAUUUCCCAUAGUCUCGUAAGAGUAAAGGACUUAACUGUCCGCCAAGAGAGGAGCCUGCGUCCUAUCAGCUAGUUGGUGAGGUAAUGGCUUACCAAGGCGAUGACGGGUAGCUGGACUGAGAGGUCGAUCAGCCACAACUGCACUGAAAACGGGCAGUACACCUACGGGUGGCAGCAACUGGGAAUAUUGCGCAAUGGACGAAAGUCUGACGCAGCGACGCCGCGUGGAGGAUGAAGAUCUAUGGAUUGUAAACUCCUUUUGCUAAGCCGUUCACAGCUUAGAGAAUAAGCCCCUACUAACUACGUGCCAGAAGUCUCGGUGAUACGUAGGGGGCAAGCAUUAUCCGGAUUCAUUGGGCGUAAAGUGUGCGUAGGCGUCUUGAUAAGUCAUAUCUUAAAUACCGAGGCUUAACCUCGGAUCUGGAUAUGAUACUACCAAGAUUGAGGAUUGGCAGGGAUGCUGGAACAGUAAGUGUAGCAGUGAAAUGCGUUGAUAUUUACUGGAACACCAAAGGCGAAGGCAGGCAUCUGGGUUAUUCCUGACGUUGAGGCACGAAAGCUAGGGUAGCGAAACAGAUUAGAUACCUGUGUAGUCCUAGCCGUAAACGAUGUC
This 758-nucleotide ribosomal RNA is filed under the name uncultured bacterium. RNAcentral describes it as "bacterial SSU rRNA". It matches the Rfam family "Bacterial small subunit ribosomal RNA", at positions 10 to 813 of the family's 1533-position model. The record is from RNAcentral.